UCAACAUUCUCUGCUACUUUGGUCCUUCUCACCCUGGCCUUUCCUGUGCUGGGCCUGCCUACAUCUCUGGCAGCUAUUCACAGUUUCUAAAAGACAAAAACAUCAAGAAAUUUUUGUGAAAUCACUUUCAAAAUAAAAUGUAGCCCAGCUACAUUCUUAGAGUUUCUAUUCUGAAGCCACAUCCUCAGCAAAGACAUUGAGACCUCCACAGUAUAUCUAUGUACACAUACACAACUCUGAUGUUCUGGUUUCUGACAAAUGUGGCAUUACUGGAAAUGGAGACAACCUGUCCAUGGCAGUGAAUCACCCAGGAGUUUUGGUGGACAAAGUCAUCCAACGCCAGACUGCAUCCUAGCCAGCUGGAUGACUAACAAAGGCUUCCCUGACACCCUCCUGCAGUGAGCCUCUGCAGCCCAAGGAACCACGCACAGGGAUGCAUGGAGUGCUGACUGCUUGGGUGCUGACCAAGGGGAAAGUGGUGAACUGAGCUUGCCUCCAUUUCUGGCUGGCAACAGAAAAUAAAU
Molecule: long non-coding RNA, 524 nt
Organism: Hirundo rustica (Barn swallow)
Lineage: Eukaryota; Metazoa; Chordata; Aves; Passeriformes; Hirundinidae
Exons: 3
Source: RefSeq, a predicted model, not a curated record